UACGUAGGGUGCAAGCGUUAAUCGGAAUUACUGGGCGUAAAGCGUGCGCAGGCGGUUGUGCAAGACCGAUGUGAAAUCCCCGGGCUUAACCUGGGAAUGGCGAUGGAUACUGGCUCGCUAGAGUGCGGUAGAGGAGAGUGGAAUUCCCGGUGUAGCAGUGAAAUGCGUAGAGAUCGGGAGGAACAUCAGUUGCGAAGGCGGCUCUCUGGACCAGCACUGACACUGAGGCACGAAAGCGUGGGGAGCAAACAGG
RNAcentral lists this ribosomal RNA (253 nucleotides) under uncultured bacterium. RNAcentral describes it as "partial 16S ribosomal RNA". It matches the Rfam family "Bacterial small subunit ribosomal RNA", at positions 524 to 776 of the family's 1533-position model. The record is from RNAcentral.